RNAcentral lists this long non-coding RNA (938 nucleotides) under Olea europaea subsp. europaea. Lineage: Eukaryota; Viridiplantae; Streptophyta; Magnoliopsida; Lamiales; Oleaceae. The record is from RNAcentral.
UUCUUGGAUAACCAUUGCGUAGGAUUUUUCUUUAGCAUUUCCUGUAGAGGUCAGCCCCUUAUUUGUAUGCCUCAAAUUUGGCUAUUUUUUUGUGGGCUAGAAUACCUGGGUUGCACUUCUCUCUAGUUGGUAUCAAGGACUUGAUGAUACUAAUCUCAAAGAGGCAUAUCUUGCAUCUCUUCCACAACUCUUUAGUCAAGAAACCUGUAGAAUGAUGGAGCUCAAAGGACAGGCGUUAUCCCAUUCUUUGUGAAGGUUGAAUGGCUGAACUGCAUAUUCUCGAAUAUAAGAGAGAUGUUCAUAAUGUCUUGAUUCAGUGAAAUAACCUUGUCUUAGGAAUACAAGUAUAAUAUGGACAUUAACAGACGAAGUUUAUCUGAUUCUUUGAACAUACCACUCUUGUAGCCACAUAUUUUUCUAUCACCAUUCUUUUCUUCUAAAAGCACUAUCCCCCAGUAUAGAAGUGCAACCCAAGUAUUUUAGCCCACACAACAAACAGUUAGAUUUGAGGCAUAUAAAUAAGGGGCCUAACUUUUAGGAUUCACAAAAAUAUCCCUAUUUAUGCCUUUGAUUCAAAUGGAAAACCUAUAUAUGCUAGAACUGAUGAUUCUGGUCAUGAUUUUUGGGAUGUUUGUUCUUGCAGUAGUUGUUUGAGUGCUUUGGUGGAAAAUGCUAGGACUACCAUCAGACUUUGAUGAUUCAGAUGUACCAACCAUGUUAGCAAAUCUGGGAACUCCUUGAUUUGCAAAUAUCAUCUCAAAUUAAAAGUAUCUUGUCAUUUUGUAUGAGUUAUCUGUCAUCUUGUUAUACAAAUAUAACAAGACCACCCAAUAUCUGAAACAGUUUCUUUGAAGACUAGCAAUCCUAUCAUUAGCUAUUGAUGAAUAUCCUUUAGGGGUGUGAUUUUUUCUCUAUGUAUCUUUGAUCGUACAAAAAAU